UGGGGAAUAUUGCACAAUGGGCGCAAGCCUGAUGCAGCGACGCCGCGUGGGGGAUGAAGGCCUUCGGGUUGUAAACUCCUUUCGCUAGGGACGAAGCUUUGUUGUGACGGUACCUAGAUAAGAAGCACCGGCUAACUACGUGCCAGCAGCCGCGGUAAUACGUAGGGUGCGAGCGUUGUCCGGAAUUACUGGGCGUAAAGGGCUCGUAGGUGGUUUGUCGCGUCGUCUGUGAAAUUCUGGGGCUUAACUCCGGGCGUGCAGGCGAUACGGGCAUAACUUGAGUGCUGUAGGGGUAACUGGAAUUCCUGGUGUAGCGGUGAAAUGCGCAGAUAUCAGGAGGAACACCGAUGGCGAAGGCAGGUUACUGGGCAGUUACUGACGCUGAGGAGCGAAAGCAUGGGUAGCGAACAGGAUUAGAUACCCUGGUAGUCCAUGCCGUAAACGGUGGGCGCUAGGUGUGAGGGUCUUUCUACGACUUUCGUGCCGUAGCUAACGCAUUAAGCGCCCCGCCUGGGGAGUACGGCCGCAAGGCUA
RNAcentral lists this ribosomal RNA (534 nucleotides) under uncultured bacterium. Its description in RNAcentral is "bacterial SSU rRNA". It matches the Rfam family "Bacterial small subunit ribosomal RNA", at positions 355 to 896 of the family's 1533-position model. The record is from RNAcentral.